Molecule: long non-coding RNA, 434 nt
Organism: Drosophila takahashii
Lineage: Eukaryota; Metazoa; Arthropoda; Insecta; Diptera; Drosophilidae
Source: RefSeq, a predicted model, not a curated record
CAUAUACCUUGGUCUAACAUUUGGCUGAAAAUUAUCUAUUAAGCGGAUAUGGAGUGGCUUUUAGUCUUUAUCAUAGGCUGUCUUGUGGGUUUCCUAAUAUCAAAGAAUACAUAGUCUACUCGUAGUGUGUACACUUACGUGCACAAAAAGCAAAAUUUCCAUUUAAAACCAAAGAGAUCGGAGUUUUAAUAGAAAAUAUGCAGCGAUUUAUUACUUUCAUUGUUGGAGGAAUUGUGGGUUUUCUCAUUGCCAAGAACACCCGCUAAGAAAUAUGGCCUAUGUUAUCUGCUUCGGAAUGGGCAUGGUUUUCGGAAUGUUCGUAUGCCGACGUUGCGAGCCCUGAUUAAAAAGACUUUACCGACUGAAAGACCUGCCCAAAUUCAAGAUCUCAUUCUUGUCUAAAAUGAAUUUAGAAUAAACAACUCUUAACAAAA